This 30-nucleotide non-coding RNA is filed under the name Homo sapiens (human). Lineage: Eukaryota; Metazoa; Chordata; Mammalia; Primates; Hominidae. The record is from RNAcentral.
UGCUAGUGGCAUAGGCAUAGUUAUUGCUAA